This is a non-coding RNA of Picea glauca (white spruce), 121 nucleotides long. The record is from Rfam. NCBI's taxonomy places the organism in Eukaryota, Viridiplantae, Streptophyta, Pinopsida, Pinales, Pinaceae.
ACAUGCCUAUAACAUAGCAUUAAUGCACUGGAUCCCUUUAGAACUUCACAGUUAAGUGCACUCAUGAUAGAGUAGUACUGGGAUGGGUGAUCGCAUGAGAAGUCCUGGUUUUUUACAUGCC